UGUUUCCAAAAAUAUCCAGUUUGCAAACUUAUUUGAUCAAAGGCGAAAACAUUGUAUCACAAGCAUCGUCAGUAUUACAUGCAAUUAUAAACAUUUGUAGAGGGCAGGAAUUGUUUUGGUUUAAAGGGAAAUAAAAACAAAAUACUAGAGUUCGGGAGAGGACAAAUGAUAAAAAUACAUAGUAUAA
Molecule: long non-coding RNA, 187 nt
Organism: Haliotis rubra (blacklip abalone)
Lineage: Eukaryota; Metazoa; Mollusca; Gastropoda; Lepetellida; Haliotidae
Exons: 3
Source: RefSeq, a predicted model, not a curated record